UCCUGGCAGGCAUAACAGGGCAGAGGUGUCAGCACCACUCUGGCCGUUUCUUUUUGCUUUGGUCCCAGCAUCCUGGUUUCUUAUCUAGGCUUUAAUGAGCCCCUGACUCCUAUCCACUCCAGCCUCUGCCCAGGACACCUGGGCUGCUCGUCUCCAAAGCAAUACUGAGACUUCCUCUUUGUUGGUGGGCCUUCUAGGGGAAUAUGCUGAAUCCCAUCCUCCUGUGGGGAGAGGCUGAGCCACUCUAAUUCAGGUCAUCAGGUGCAUCUUCCUUCAUUGGGUCUGAGCACAAAGAAGAUAGAGCUUCCGCCUUUUCCCUCUUGGCACAGCCCUGGGCCUUACUCUCCUGGUCUGUAGAAUGGAAGUUUGCCUUCCUGCUGAACAGAACUUGUGAAAACAUGGGAGAGAUCAAUUUCCUGCCCGUCAUGUGUGGCUUCUGUCAUGCAUCUCUGAAGUCCACAUGGCCUAGAAAUAACCUGAAUGAGCACCUGGAUAAAGUGAAAUUCAGGGGCUGUCUUUGAUGUGGGCUAGGAGUCAUUGGGAGGCACCAUGCGCUGUUUGCAUGGAGCAACAGAAAAGAGGAUUGGAGAGAAUGGGCCUACUCCAGUUGCUGUGGUUAAGUUGCUGGAUGAACUUGGGCAAGUCUUUGCCCUGUUCUGAUUCAGUCACCACAUCCGAUCAGUGGAGGAUUAGACCAGAUGGUCUCCAAGAGGGCUUUGGCAGGUUCUCUGUUCUCUCGGCAGAAAUAGGAGGGGCCUUAGAAGUUUGAACACUUUGGAGUCUAAGAAAUGUCUCUGAAUGCCUCCCCCAGGCUGCCUUCUCCAACCUUGGUCGUGGGAACUGGAGGGCAGAAAUCCCCCUCUUGGGCCUAUACAUCCAGGAGGAAGAACCUGCCCUUAACUUGGUCUCUCCAGAUUCCCCUCCUACCUUGGAAACGCAUGGAGACCACUUUGGUAGGAGACAGCCAGAGUGGACAUUCCUCAGACACCCUGGGCCCCUGCUUCCUCAUCCAGCCUGCAUGUGUUCCCCCAUCACGCUGUGCUUCAAGAUGAGGCUUGGUUCUGGUGACUCAGGGCAUCCAUCUGCCCUCCUAGUCCAGCCAGCGACCGCUCAACACCAGCCCCUCUGCUCCCUCAUGUGGAGUUUGAUCUCAGUCUCUAAAACAGGACUCCUGCAAAGGGCAACCCAUUUGGUGCAGGACCACAAGCCAGAUGCUGAGGGCCGGGACUGGGAGGGUUAAGCCUUCCCUCCCUCCAGCCUGCCCCCCUGCAGUGCUGGCCUCAGCUGCUUGGAAUCCCUGGGGUCCUGUAGGGCCCUCCCGACAGCCAGAUGGGCAGCAGCGCCAGGAGAGGAGGAGGAGGAGCAGUGGAAACAGGCCCCAGGGUACCCCCGGGCAGGGAGGGGAAGGGAAGAGAGGAACAGAGGGAGGAGAGAGGAUGGCUGUAUGGUACGGGAGCCCCACUGGCAGAGCGGAGAAGGCCGGACCCUUCUUCUUGAGCCAGGCAGGGGGACAGGGCUGCCUUGGGGCUUUGGAGCUGUGGAGAGUUCGGGGCACAGGCCAUUGUGCUCAGCGGGCCUCCGCCUGGGAGCCAGCUCUUGGCGUGAAACCCUACCCGGUGCUGGCUCCUGCUCCUCUUUCUUUUUUCUUAAUAAGGUCGAAUCAGAGUGAGUCAGAGGAGCCAAGUUUCCUGUUAGGCUCUGUUUGAAUAAACUCUGCUCUGAGCAUAGCUUGGGCCUCUGCACAAGCUCCUGGGGCCAGGAUUGUAGCCCUGCCAGCCAUCUCUGCUGAGACUGGAGACCUGGGGUCCUGGCCUGGCCCCCAGAUGCUCCCCAGGGAAGCCUGUUAAGCUCUCAGAGCUUCAAAGUCUUCAGCUAUAACUUGGGAGUAAUAAUACCUUUCUCGUGGUAUAUUUGGGAGGAUGAAAUAAAAGGAUUAUGAAGAGUACCUACCCAGCACAGUGCCAGGCAUGUGGCCACUAUUUUUUUCCCCCCUCUGGACUGAUGAGAGAAGGGAGGGCUUCACCCCCAGGGUGUUCCCCCCGUCCCCAUUUUCUCUGUCCCUUUCAUCUUUUUCAUCUGUCUUCUGCAUCCUUUUCUUGUACCCAGCCCAGGGCACACUCCUGGGGCCGGUCCUCUCCUCCUCUCCACUCCCUUCCUUGCCCUCCUUUUCUCUGCCAAUCUGUGUCUCCCAAAGUGGCUGAUAAGACCUUCUUGGAUCUCUGAGCCCAGAGGAGCCUGGCUGGUUCCCCCUCUGCACACACAGGACAAGGCCUUGCCUGAGUAGCUGGAGGUGUCCUGACAUCCUUUGCUUGGAAGCAGCAGAGCCGGGGUCUAAGAGAGACCCCAGGCAGGCAGCAAAGGAUGCAGAACUGGGGUCAAAUGAGGGCUUCAAGUCGCCAGGCUGGGCCUGAGCUGUCUGGAGGUGAGGGGCGGGUGGCAGGCAGCUCCUCACCAGGCCCUGUUCCUAGGGGCUGGGUUCACACCACAGUUUUAAGACCUAGCCCUGUGGUUGAGGCUUGUUGCCAGUCCCUGGCAAUAGGAACCAGGCACAAGUGUUCUUGGAGGGCUGGGGUAUAGGGCUGCAAGAGCUUGUUGGUAGUGUGUGACUUUGUUAAGAAUCUAAUGUUCUGGACGGGGCUGCUCCUCCCCUGGGCUUCCCAUGGGACACAGCCAGUGUCUUUUGAUCCUGUGCUGGAACUCCAGGCUCUGGAAAAUCUGGAGGGAGUGAGGAGGCCUCAGACCCAACCGCAGAGGGUUUGGGAAGCCGAGAAAGGAUAUGAGCCGUGGGAUGCCUUACUGCUUUGCAGAGGAAAGGACCAGGAGGCCCACUGUGGGUCAGAAUGUUUCUAUGGUUGUGGGGAAAGGAUGAGGCAAACUCUGGGUGUCCCUGCCUUCUGUCCCCGACCUGGAAUGGGACUGGUCCUUAUCUACCCACUGAGAUCCCUGGCUGCUGAGCCUAGGCCCCUGGCAAAGGCUCUUGAUGGGGUUUGUGCGGACCUGGGGGUGGAAGCCCCAGCCCAGCUGGCAGUGAACUGUGCAGGCCCCUGCUGCUGCUUCUAGAAAUUGGGCCGAGGAAAUGCUGAGUGAGGAGGCCUGGCAAGCUGGCAUAGAAUGUGCUGACUCUGCAGCAAGAGGACCACCAAGUGACCACUGCCAGCUGGGCCCUGCACCCACCCUUCCCCUGCAGCCACAUCUGGUGCAAUGGUGGGCGAGGCAGGGGGGCUUUGGAGGUCCCCAGAGCCAAGGUAGCCGUGGAGGGGCCCGCAGGAGGGGCCGGGGCCCUUUGGUUUGGAAGUGCCUCUCUUCAGCGCUGGAACUCUGGAGAAGCCCAGAAAUAGGGGAGGUGAGGUCAGAGCCUUUUGGAAGGACAAAUGGGGAGGUGAGGGGGAAGGGAAGGAACCCACCCUUCUCUAGGACCCAGGGGAAUUCAGUGGCUCUGGCCACCUCCCACUCUGCUUUUCCUCCUAGCUCUCUGGGGCUCCCGCCUGCAUGCUCCCCAGGGAAUUGGAAAUACCAGCACUGAUACAUGGGUCUGGUCAUCCAGGCAAAGCUCUAUGAGGCAGGAAGCCUCCUCGAUCCCCGGAUCCCCUCGUCCCCCAGCCCAGCCAGCUUCUCCACUUCCAGACUUUCUCCCCGUCCUGAGGGGUGGGCAGGGCUCUGGGUCUGGCUAAAUGGUAACAUUCCCUGUCCACGUCGCCCCCACCCCCGGCCCCCAAUCCAUCCCAGGUCCAGAGCUGGCAUGGUCAGGGAAUAUCAUGAUUACAGGGAUGGAGAGGGGGUCUCCUCCCUGAGGCCUUCCUUGGGUGGAAGGUUUUUGCUGAAGUUGUUGGUUGGGGCCUGCUGGAUAGGACAGCCCCUGGUGUCAAGGUUCGAGUUGGGGUGGCUCUCAGCCAGCAUGCUGUGGGGAGGAGGAGGUCACAGAGUUCCCUGCCCAAAGGCGAGAACUGCCAAGACCAAGCAGGAGGCCAGUCCCUUGGGCUGCAGCCUGGCAAACCCUGGAGAACUGGGAGGAACAGGGAGGUUCCUGAGGCAGGAACCCAGGGAUUCUAAUAGCAACCUGGCAAGGCUAAGGGAAGAUCCUCCAGCAGUAGGAAAUGGCAACCCACUCCAGUGUUCUUGCCGGGGAAAUCCCAUGGACAGAGGAACCUGGUGCUACAGUCCGUGGAGUCCCAAAGAGUCGAACAUGACCACUAAACAAGGCUAAGGGAAAGCUCUUUUCUCUCUCUGUCUCUCUCUCUGCUUUUGUUUUCCUGCCUCUAUAUCUUUGACUUCCAUUUGGGUCUUUCUGGGUUUCUUUACCUUUAUUUUUUUUUCCUUUUUUCAGAAUAUUCCUGUUUUAAUUCAUUCAUUCACUUUCUCUGUCUCCCUCCAUUUCAGUGACUUACAGUCUCUACUCAUUGUUUCUAUUCUUUUAUAUCUCCCUUACUCCACCUCACCUGUUUCUCUGAAUUAUUCCCUUAUGUGUCCACUCAUUCAGUCAGCGUGUUCCCUGGGUGCCUGCUGAAUGGAAGCCCUGUGUUGGCUGGGGGAUCCCCAAAGAGCUCACACUCUAGUGGGAGUGGCUAGUCCUGAGGAGGGGUGCACCUUUAGGCUGACUCUGUGACCUUUGAGUCACCCAAUAAAUAUUAGUUGAACAAAUGAAUGAAUGGUGACUUUCUAUAUUCUUUGACUAUUUUCUGUUGUAACAUUCACCUGCUUAGUAUUGAUUUAUAAGAUGUAGUAUAUUUAGCAUCUUUUCGUAUAUCACUCUUUUUGUCAUAUAGGGUGCAGGUAAUUUUUGAAGUUUGUCAUUUGCAUCUGUAGUUUUUAUACUUUCCUGAUAUAUUGAAGUGCUUCAGUUUUAAGCUGUCAAAUUAUUCGAUUUUUCUGUUAUGAUCCCAGACUUUAUUGUUAUAUGACCUUUGCUUUCACCAAGAAUGCAUACAUUUUCAAUUAAAUUUCAAAAUUUUAUACUUUAAUUUCCCUUUAUAUUUAACUCUAUUUUAUUUUUGUAUCUGGUGAGAGGUAAGGAAACAACUUUAAAACAAAUUAAGCCACUAUCAUUUUAAUAUGAAUGAUAAAUUAAUCCAUAAGUGAAUUCCUAGUGAUCUGAAAGGGCAUUUUAUCAUAUACUGAAUAGUUUUCGGUUUGAUUGUGCUUUUUAUUCUGUACCAUUGACUUAUCAGAUCAUUUUUACAUUGAGAUUACCUUAUUUUAAUAGUUGUAACUUUUAAAUAAUGAUUAUUAACUGAGAAUACAAAUCUCAUUUAUUUAUUUAUUGGCCCUGGCUUGUAGAGUGCAGUAUCUUAGUUUCCUGACCAGGGAUUGAACCCAUAGCCCCUGUAAUGGAAGCAUGGGUAUUUUAACCACUGGACUGCCCAAAAUUAUUCUUAGUGCUUGUCAUUUAGGUGAACUCUAGAUUUUUUUUUCCAAGUUAAAUAUAAAACAAAAUGUCCCUCUGGAAAUUGGAAUUGGAUUAAAUUUAUAGAUUAAUGUAGUGGUAAAUAAUUUCUUUGCAACACUGAGUGUUUCCAUUCAGGAAGAUGGUGUAUCUUUCUAUUACUAAGGUCUUUUUAAAUUGUUGUUCUACAGUAAAGUUUUAUAGAUGAAUAUAUGUGUCUGGUGCAUCUUUAAUGAAACAUGGCAAUGACAUCUGUAGUUGGCAGCUUCUGAAAUGGUUCUCAGUGAUCCCUGGUAGUCACUUCCUUGUAUAAUCCCCAUGGCUUUAUGUGUGGAUUGGACCUAAUAACUUGCUUCUAGUGACUAGAAUGUGGAAAAAAGUGAUGGGAUGUUACUUCUGAGAUUAGGUUGUGAAAAAUUGUGACUUCUGUCUUGCUGGAGCUCUCUUUCCCGCUCAGGCUCUCUCACUUGCCUUCUCUAACAAAACCAGCUUCUAUGUUUCGAGCUGCCUUAUAGGAAGCCCAUGUGACAAGGGACUGAGACCCUCAGCCCAACAGCCAUGUGAGUGAGCAUACCUACUUGAACCUUCAGAUGAGACCGCAGCCUUGGCUAACUACUUGAUUAUAGCUUUCUGAGGGACUCAGAGGCAGAGAACUCAGCUCAGCCACCCGCAGAUUCCUGGCCCACAGAAACUUGAGAUAAUAAAUUCUGCUGUUUUAAACCACUGUGCUUUGGGGGCAAUUUGUCAUGCAGCAAUGGAUAACUAAUGCAGCAUCUUUAGUUAUUUAAUUUUUGCUUAAUGUUUUCUGCUAAGUAUCAGGAAGUAGAAAAGAUAUUAACUUUUCUGUAGUUAUUUUAUAACUGGCUACUUUACUAAACUCUUCUAUUCUGAUAAUUUUGUAUUCCUUUUCCUAGUUUUUCUGAGUACUACUUGCAAAUAAUUAUAAUUUAAUCUUCUUAUUUUUUUCUAAUUGCAGUAGCUAGAAUUUUUAUAAUAUUUAGUGUUGAAUAACGAGACAGUAGAAAUCUUUAUCUUGUUCACAUAUUUGAUGAGAAUGCUUUUUUUAUUUCACUGAUUUGGUGUUGGCUGUGGGUUUGAGAGCUAGUAUUUUUUACCACGAGAAACAAAUAUACUUCCAUCUCUAGUUCACUAGAGUUUUUUGAAAGAAAAUCAGGAAUGGAUAUUGAAAUUUACCAAGUAUCUAUUCAGCGUGUAAAAUGAUUUUUUUUCUCCUUUGACCUAUCGCCAUAGUUAAUCAGUUUCCUGCAGUUUUGAUAUAGCAUUAUCCGUGCAUUCCAGGAGUGUUUGCUCAUGGUGUAUUCUUCUCAUCGCUCUAGAUACUUUCACUGCUAGAAUUUCUUCCUCCGCUGGAUGAGGCCUCUGGUCCCCAGCCCUGGGAUGAGCCCUGUGGUGCGCUGUGAAGGCCUCUGCACUGUCAUUAGCUCUUGGUGUAACGCCACGUGUCCACUGAUUGUCACUCCAGACGUGCGUGGGAAGAGUGGGCUCAGCUGUGCCUGGAAGGCCUCUUUCUCCUCCAGGGUAGUGUGUUUCAAAAUAAAACCAACUCUUGGGGGAAAUCAUUGUCUGCUGUCAGCUCCAUAAAGCCAUCAAUAACAUUGCUAACUGGAAGAAAUGCUAGCACACGUCAACCAGCGGAAACCAAGCUGUCAAACCCCAAACUGUCAAACCAGUUAUUUGAUCUUUCUCACAAAAUUGCCUCACAGCCGUUUAGUUACAGGGCAAAAAUGUUUGCAGCAGAAAACGCUUUCGGCAAAGAUUUCUGUGGCAAAGAUGCUUACGGUGAAAACACUGGACACAUUCUUUUAAUAUGUUGUUGGAUUGGGUUUGGACUUUAAUCUGAUUAAAUUUUUAUUAGGACUUUACAUCUAUA
This is a long non-coding RNA of Bubalus bubalis (water buffalo), 7271 nucleotides long. RefSeq lists it as uncharacterized. The transcript is spliced from 2 exons. The record is from RefSeq and is a predicted model, not a curated record. NCBI's taxonomy places the organism in Eukaryota, Metazoa, Chordata, Mammalia, Artiodactyla, Bovidae.